RNAcentral lists this long non-coding RNA (227 nucleotides) under Vigna radiata. Its description in RNAcentral is "long non-coding RNA (VRAD_LNC006830)". The record is from RNAcentral. Lineage: Eukaryota; Viridiplantae; Streptophyta; Magnoliopsida; Fabales; Fabaceae.
AUGAAUCAUGAUAAUUCUGGUAUGGUCUGUUUCCUCCAAACGUGUUUGUAGCAAAAGCUUGAGAUGGGUUUUGCACAGUAGUUUCCAUCAAGCUUGGACAUUCAUCAGUGUAGUGAUCAGUUGAAAAGCAAAUUCCACACCUUUUAGCAAUUUGUUGAGUGGAGGUUUUAAACAAACUUGCGAUCUUGUCGAGUUUGCUUUCUAAAUUAUUCAAUCUUUCAUCUAUC